Small nucleolar RNA from Amazona collaria (yellow-billed parrot), 97 nucleotides. NCBI's taxonomy places the organism in Eukaryota, Metazoa, Chordata, Aves, Psittaciformes, Psittacidae. The record is from Ensembl.
AUCCUUCCGGUUCAUAGCGAAUGAUGAAUGGGAGUGGCACGCGGCUGCGUGACGUGUGCGCCCUGUAGUUACGACGUGGCACAGUUCCCUUCUGAGC